This 8058-nucleotide long non-coding RNA is filed under the name Gossypium barbadense (sea-island cotton). RNAcentral's name for it is "long non-coding RNA (GBAR_LNC008863)". The record is from RNAcentral. Lineage: Eukaryota; Viridiplantae; Streptophyta; Magnoliopsida; Malvales; Malvaceae.
ACCUUUGAUCUGUAAUCCCUAACCAUUCCCUCCCCUUUUUUCUUCAAUCUGAAAUUCAUUGUCAUUCCCAUUCCUUCUCAUUCUUUUGAUAUCUUCCAACAAAUCUAACACCAGGUAACUAAGAUUCACUACUGUUGCAUUAGGAAAAAUGUUCCAACGAAAAAAGAACCCAUUUUGCAUGUUAUUCAUUUCGAAAUAUCCCACCUUUAUUGAUCUUUCAGUGUUUUGAUUAUUGAAAAAUCUCGUAUUUUGGUCGAACUAUAUUUCCAUCUAUCGAAAAUUUGAUCCGUUCACUACUGAACCGUACUUUCAAGUUGCUAAAAACCCACCUUCAAGAGAAAUACAUGUUCAUAUUUCGAGAAAACCUUACUGAAGUGAAACCCUGCUUUCCUUAUAUUCUGGUAAGACCCUAUUUUCGUUAUGGAUAUGCGAUCAAGUUUCGUAUUAUUUUGGUAAGAAACCUAAUUUGUCCCUCCUUUUUUUCAGCGGUUUUGUCUGUACAAGGUUAUUGAAAAAAGAGUAUAGUGGGUUUGUAAGUGUGCAUAGGGAUAUAGACAAAUUAGGCCCCUUUAAUUUAUCAAAUAUGCCACUUAUUCAUGCAAAAAAAAAAAAACAAUGGACUUCUAAUCAAAUGUUGUGGAUGAUGCUUGUAUAAUAUUUAAUUUAAUUGUUAAAAUAUUUUAUUCUGAUCAAAUGUUGUGGAUGACGCUUGUAAUGGACUGUGCACUUUGAGAUGGCCUUCACAAAACUCAUGCAUUUAGGUGAUACAUUUGUUGAUAACCCUAAGGUAGAUUAUAUAGGUGGGGUUGUUGAAGUGUGGGAUGUGUCCCUAAUUAUUUGUGACAUGGAGAUUUGUGUGAGUUGGUUAUAGAGUCAGGGUGUAGGGGUGUUAAAAAUUUGUAUUAUUUAACACUGAGUAGUUUAGAUGUUGGUUUAGUUCUGUUUUGUGUUUGGGAUAAUAACUCUUUUAAUCACAUGGAGAUGUGUGAAUAAGCGAGAGGUCAACAAAGGGAGCUCGCAGCAUCAGCUUGCACGUGCUAAAGGGAGUUCGUGGUCUCAACCCAUGCAAACACAAGGAGUACAUGUGUCUAAUAUGCCUGAGGUUUGCUCAGAAUGUCAGUCCAAUGAAUAGUGGAGUUAAAUCAUGAAUAGUAAAAUUAAGUCAUGAACAGUGAUAACAUGUAUAAAUAUUCGAUUGUCCCUUUCAAUGGAAAUGAGCUACGAGUUCCCCCUGUUGACCUCUUGCUACAUUCCUCGCACACAUCCCUUAGGCGAGUCUAUCCAGGUUGCGGGUAGACGACUCAGAUCUUAUUUGGGUUUCGAGUUGGUGAUCCUUAGCGUAUAACAACAUUAAUGAGAAUAGUGAGGGUGUAGAUCCAACUUGUGAGGGACGUGAGGAAUUUCUUAGAGAGUGCAAAGGGAUUGAAGAAGCUGAAGGUAGUGAUGAUGAUCCAUUAGAAAAUGUUGAGUGGGCUAGUGACAAGGAUAAUGAGGAGUAGUAGUAGAUUAACAAUCUCUUUAGAAGUUUUAGGGAUAAUGUAGAAGAUAGAAAUGUUAGGCAAUAUGACAUCCCAAUUGAGAUAGUUUUGGAUGACCUUAUCUUAGAAAUUAAGAAAAAAAGGGCAUCUGUUAAUACUACCACAGUAGGUGAGUCUAGUGGGGUUGGGAGUGCAGCAGAUUACUUAAAAUCCUUAGAUCUAGUGAGUAGUGAUAUUGAUGAGGAUGGAGAUGUUGUCUUCAAGAAGUCAGAGAAGUGUUAUUUUGACCUUACUAAUCUAAUGCCUCAUUUUCAGUUAGGUUUGAUUCUUGAGAGUCCAAAACAGUUCAAGUCAGCAUUGAAAAGGUAUGCAAUUGCUAAGAGAUUUGAUUUUAAGUUAGCUAAGAAUGAGAAAGACAAAACUAAGGCUGUUUGCAAAUGGAGGGUUCUCCUUUUUACAGUUUAUGUUGGGGUAGAUUCAAUGGAUGAGCUUUUUAACAUUUAGGCUUUUAGAAAUCAUCACACUUGCUCCAUAACUUUUAAGAAUUCUCGAGCAUUAUAAGGUGUUGGCAAAACAUUUUUUACCUAAACUUAGAAUUAUGCCAUAUUUAAAACUGAUCGAGAUGGUGAAACUUGCUUAGGAAGAACUAAAGGUUGAUGUGUCCUUGGGGAUUUGUAGGAGAGUGUUAUGCGCCUUGGCGUAAGAUCUAGUCACAGGUCUAGACGAGAAAGUAUCCUUGCUUCGACCUAUGGUUACUCAAAAGGCAGAUUCGUCCUUGACUGAACCCCCUCUCAAAAUAACGUUUCUUUUGAUAGAAUAAUUACUUUUCCUCUUUAUUUCAUAUUGACAGCCUUUUAUAGACUGUUAAUAACAAAGGAAAGAGUCCUAAUUGACAUAAAAUAGAAUUCCUAACUUAGAGUUUAUGAAGGAAAUAAAAACCUAAUAUAAUAGAUAAGUAAAACUAAAACUCUUAGUAAAACCUGAUAUAUAAUAAAUAAAUAAAACUAAAAACUCCUAUUGCAAUUAAAGUGUCCAUAUCAUUACUUCCCUUCUCGGAAUUGAGCUUGUCCUCAAGCUCAAAUUCAAAAUAAACUUCAGAACUUAUCCAAAAUCAUCUAUCUCAUCAUCAUCUUGCUUGCCUUCAACAUCUGGUACUUCUAUCCAAAAUAACCUUUUACAUUUGUGUCCCAUGGAAUAAGACUCGUCACAAUUAUAACACAGCCCUUUAGCCCUUUUUUCCGCCAUUUCUAUCCGUGUCAAUCUCUUAAUAAAUGGUGCAGAAGAACCUAUUUUGCCGUUGUUCUCUAUUGGUUCUAUUGUUUGUCCUCCUCCCUUGGCAAAGCUCUUAGUUGUUGGAAUAAUGGAAUUGCUGCCAGUGUUUCAGGAAGCUGACCAGUUUAGAUUGGUUUGAGAUAACAUCUUGGAAGAGACUUUUUGUUUCCGUUCCAAUGCUCGAGCCAUAUUCAUUGCAACUCCAAGGUUUUCCGGAUGUUGCAUCUCGAUAUCAAUUCUAAGUUCCUCUACUAAUCCGGUAGUAAAAAGGUUUACUUGUUGUCGAGGUUUAAGAUCCGUAGUCCUAGCCAGUAGUGAUUGAAAUUGACGUUGAUAUUCUUCUACCGUCCCAGUUUGUCUCAAGUUUGCAAGUUCCCCCAAGGGGUUAUUACUCAUAGGUGGCCCAAACCUAACAUGACAACUCUCUAAAGCACUCCCAAUCCAGAUUUUCCUCCUCUUCCUCGAUUUGAUCAAACCACAAUUGUGCUUCUCCUAAGAGAUGGAAUGAAGCUAAGCCGACUUUGUCUUCUUCGUAGGUCCGCUGAUUGCCAAACAAUUUUUCGCAUCUUUUUAACCAUCCUAAAGGAUCACCAACACCAUCAUAAGUGGGAAAUUACAUCUUGGAGUAUUUUGGCACCAUGCCCCCACCGUGUUGUGAAUUUGAAUUUCUUUUCUUGCCUCCACUGCUACCUUGUUCUUCAUUAUUUUUUUCUAAAUUCUCUUUCGUUGUCUUUUGGACCGAAAGAGAUAAAAUCGCCAUCUGCUCCUCUAAUGCUUGUUGCAUUGUAGCCAUUUGUUCCAUAAAUGCCUCCAGCUUGGCUGUCAAAGUUUUUUCGUCACCCAUGACAACUGACUCCGAUACCAAGUUGUUAUGCGCCUUGGCGUAAGAUCUAGUCACAGGUCUAGACGAGAAAGUAUCCUUGCUUCGACCUAUGGUUACUCAAAAGGCAGAUUUGUCCUUGACUAAACCCCCUCUCAAAAUAACGUUUCUUUUGAUAGAAUAAUUACUUUUCCUCUUUAUUUCAUAUUGACAACCUUUUAUAGACUGUUAAUGACAAAGGAAAGAGUCCUAAUUGACAUAAAAUAGAAUUCCUAACUUAGAGUUUAUGAAGGAAAUAAAAACCUAAUAUAAUAGAUAAGUAAAACUAAAACUCUUAGUAAAACCUAAUAUAUAAUAAAUAAAUAAAACUAAAAACUCCUAUUGCAAUUAAAGUGUCCAUAUCAGAGAGCUAAAGACUUAGCAAAUGAACAAAUUAGUGAGAGGUAUAAGUAUGAGUUUAAGGAGGGUAGGUUUUGAUGGGGCUAUAGAUUUAAUGGUUGACAAACCUUUUUCUAAUCAUAGGCCUAGAUUUAGUAGGUUUUAUGUUUGUUUUAAUAGUAUGUAAAAAGGGUUUAAAGAGUGAUGUAGGCCUUUUGUGAGUUUGGGUGGGUGCUUUCUAAUGGGAAUGUUGAAAGGUGGCUUAUUGGUUGCUGUGGAAGGGAUGCCAACAAUCAAAUAUACCCUAUUGCAUAGGCAUUGGUGGAAAGUGAAACAAAAUAUUCUUGAGGAUAGUUUUUAGAGAAUGUAAGAAAUGAUCUUCAUAUGAUGAAUGGUGAAAGAUUUACCAUUCUGAGUGACAUGCAUUAAAUCUGAUUUUUUCUAUUAAUUGAGGGCUUAAUUGAAGCAGUUGGUCUGUAAUUUCAGAAAAUGAGCACAAAUUCUGUGUUAGGCAUUGGUUUGCCAUUUAGAAAAGAGUUUUCAAGAAUUUAGAGUUGCACAAGUAUUUUUGGAGCUGCAGCAAGGUAACAUCAGAAGCUGAAUUUCGGAAAAUGGCAUCUGCACUAGGUGAGGUGAAAAGGCAAGCACUGUUAAAAAUAUUGAAGAAAAAGCCUAUACAUUGAGGUGAGGCAUUUUUCUCAGCUAGAAACCUAUGUGAUUUUGUAGACAAUAAUAUAGCAUAAGCCUUUAAUGCUAGGUUAAGACAAGCUAGACACAUGUCUAUAAUUUCCAUGUUUGAGGAAAUUAGACAUUAUGUUAUGCACCACUUGCUGGGAACAAAUUUUGGCCUGUUACAAACAUGGGCGCUAUUGACCCUCUACUACCAAGGAAGUUACCAGGCAAGCCAAAAAAGAGAGUGCUGAAGAGGACGAAUGUAGUGGAAUCAACUUGUCUAGAAAAUGGAGGAUAAGAUGCAAAAUAUGUUUUAUGUUGGGACAUAAUUCAAUUAAAAAACAAGAUAAUGUAAGUUAUCUCAAUCUCAAUUACUUUCUUUUUUUAUGUUUUCAAUAUGGCUUCUAAUCAAGUGUUUUUUUCAAGAUUGACAAUAAUGGCAAUACUGGUGAACUAGUACCCAAAAGCCCUACUUAGUCUGAAGUUGAGGUACAUUUAAUUGUUUUCCCUUUUAUAGUACUCUUUCAUAAUCUUCAAGAGCAACACCACCAACAUCUGCAGUAACACAAACAACACCAACAACAGCUUCACAUGUAGCUCCACAACCACCAAUUGUAGCAACUCGUUUUUCAACAUGAAUUAUACAGCAACACCACCAAUAACUCAUGUACAAACACCUACAACAAGACCACCAAUUGCUCAAACAACAACCCCGAAACACCAAUUCAACCACCUAAUAAAAUAUCAAAAAGGAGAAGAAAAAUCAUGGAGGGCAAUGGGUUUAUGUCAAUUUGAGUAAUGGUGUAACAACUCAUUUUAAGUGGUGUCGAAAAUAGUGGUUUUGAGACCACAAUUUCGACGAGCGAAUUAAUAUUUUUAAUGUUUAUUUAAAGUCUGUAAGAUUAAUUAGGCUUGUCUAGAAUUCUUGUUAAGAAAUUUUAAGGUUUAAAUAGUUAAUUAAGUAAAAAAAACUAAACUGGAAAAAGUGCUAAAGUUUAUUUCUAUUAAUUAAAUGAGUCAAAUGGUUAUGGAAAGGUGAAUAAGUGAACUUAAAAAAGAAAUUAUUAUUGGACAUUCAUGGACAAAUGUUUGUUACUUGUUAAUUAAAAUAACUAAGGGUAAAAUGGUAAUAUGAUAAUUAAAACUAAACAAAACAAAAAAAGGAAGUUAUCAUCUUCCUAGGUCAUCACCUAAUUUUAAAGAAGAAAGAAACCCACCAUUGUAGAAGCUUGAUUCAUCUAGAUAGUUUCACCUUGCAUGGUAUGUAAUUUUCACUUAUUCUUAGUAAUAUUUGUGUUUUUGUUAUCGUAUUAGAUUAAUUAGGCUCGCCUAGAGUCAAUUUGUAAAAUUAUUAAAAGUAUAGCGAUUGACCAUGAUUGAGUUUGAAUGUGUUUUGAUUUUAGUUAAUAGAUUAUUAAAAUUUAUUGUUAAAUAAACAUGUUUUGUUAAGUGAUUUGCAGUAAUUUUAAGGUCUAGGGAUUAAUUUAUUAAAAUAGUAAAAUUUAUUGGUAAAAAUGUGAAAUUGUGAUAAAUAUAGGCUGUUAAGGAACCCUAUGAAAAUGGUUAGCAUGAAAUUUUAUUAAUUGUAAGUUUCGUGUUUAGGGAUUAAAUUGCAUAAAAGUUAAAUUAUUAGAGGUAAUUUCGUAAUUUUACAUUAAAGUGGGUUAUUAAACUAUUUGAAUGAUUUAAUUGAAUGAAAAUAUUAUUUAGACCAAGAAAAGAACCAACUGGACAUGAACUGAUGAAAAGCGAAAGUCUCGUAUGAGUUAUAAACUUAUUAAUUUGUUUUUGAAUUGUAUGUUAUUCAAUGUUAUGUUAGAUAUGAUUUAAGUUGGUAAUAUAACGAUGUUUUGGAUAUUUGAUGGUUUAACAGUUUCGGUUUCGGAUACCGGUCUUGGAUGUCCUAUUAAUUGUUGAAGUCUUGCAUUUGAUGCGAAUUCUCCACAACUAGUGUGAGCAUUAUUGAAAAGGUUACAAUUACAUGAAAAGACACUUUGUGUAAGUGUUUCCUGAGUAUUCAAUGUUGUUUAAUAUGGUUCAAUGGGCACUUUAAGUUAAAUGAAAAAGUAUGUAUAUGAAAUGAGCCAUGAUGUUAAGCAUGGGAAAUGAGCUAUGAUGCUGAGUAUAUAAAUUUGAUAGUAUGAUAUGUGAAAUUAUGUUGAAAAGAGAAUCUAAUGAUAUAUGAUAGAUGGUUUGUAUAUUGAAAUUUAUUUAAUGAAAUAUUACAUGAAUUAGGUGAAGUUAUAUGCUUAAUAUUCACCUACCAACUUUGUGGAGUUUUUGUGUAUAAGAUUGAAAUGUAUGCAUUUAUUUUAAUAAUUGAAUUCAUACUUGAAUGGCUACAAAUAAUAUAUGCGGUAAGUUUAAAUUUACAUAUACGAGUUUAUUAAGCACUAGUUUACAUAGUUGUUUUCUUUGUCUUGUAAAUCAUCGGGAAGUUUAAUGGGUUGAAACUUUGUCAGAGGUCUAUCACACUAUUAGUCGACCAUUUUAAUAGUUAUAAUUAUUUUGGCUAUAGUUAUAAAUGACAUGUAUAGGGCUUAUAUGUAAUAGGAGUUUUUGAUUAUACUAUUUGGCUAAUGUGAUGUGGUUAUGUCUCUUGCAUAUAGGUUUUGUUUUGACUUGUAAUUGCAUAAGUAUGUUUGUCUUUUUUGUCACUUUAAAAGGCAUUGUAAAUAUAUGGCUUAUGACUUAUUCAUAUGAGAUUGAAGUGGUUUAAUGAUGUGUGAAUAUGGUGAUGUAUGUUUAGGUUAUAAUGUAACUUCAAAUGGAUUGAUGUGUUAUUUGAGGUGCCUUUUGAUGGCAUAUUGGUUUAGUGUAGGAUGAGUGAAUAUUUAGCAUGUUUUUGAUGUUUUGAAGUAUGUUUUAAACAUGUGAAUGUUGGUAGAAUUAGUGUGUAUUAAUGUGUCUUGGUGUGCAAGAAUUAGUUUUGGAAUGGCUUGUUUUAGGGGUAACUUGUGUUGCAUACGGCCUGACACACAGUCUGUUACACUGCCACCCCAUACAGUUGUGUUAUUAUUGUUCUUAGGUGCAGGUUUCACAUGGUCUAAGACACAACCUGCGACAUGGUCAUGUGUUUCAAGUCAAAAUGUAACACGGUCUGGCAAACAGCUUACGACAAGGUCGUUUGACCCAACAUCGAAUGCGCAUACGGCUUGCGACACAAUUGUGUGGCCCUAUUUUGAAUAUAUACGGGCUAGGACACGGUCGUGUGUCCAGAGUUCGAAUGUCUAGAAGGUCUAGGCUAUGCCACACGGCUGUGUGACCUGUAUUUUUCAAAAUUUCAUGUUUUCCCAAAUUUUUCUGUUUUGCUUCAAAUUGACCCCUAAUUGUUUCCAAGUUAAUUUUUAAGGCUCAAACGUGUUUGUUUACUAUGAUUAUAUUAAGUUGUUAAUUAUUGAUAUUAAGAUAUAUAAUUGUUUCUAUUUUGAUGUUAAA